This 2828-nucleotide long non-coding RNA is filed under the name Salmo salar (Atlantic salmon). RNAcentral describes it as "lncRNA (ENSSSAG00000115258.1)". The record is from RNAcentral. Lineage: Eukaryota; Metazoa; Chordata; Actinopteri; Salmoniformes; Salmonidae.
GUAUUAGUAGUCCACGAUGGGUAUUAGUAGUCCACGAUGGAUAUUAGUAGUCCACGAGGGGUGCUAGUAGUCCACGAGGGGUGUUAGUAGUCCACGAUGGGUAUUAGUAGUCCACGAGGGGUGUUAGUAGUCCACGAGGGGUGUUAGUAGUCCAUGAUGGGUAUUACUAGUCCACGAGGGGUGCUAGUAGUCCACGAGGGGUGUUAGUAGUCCACGAGGGGUGCUAGUAGUCCACGAGGGGUAUUAGUAGUCCAUGAUGGGUAUUAGUAGUCCACGAGGGGUGCUAGUAGUCAUUGAUGGAUAUUAGUAGUCCACGAUGGGUGUUAGUAGUCCACGAGGGGUGUUAGUAGUCCAUGAUGGGUAUUAGUAGUCCACGAGGGGUAUUAGUAGUCCACGAGGGGUGUUAGUAGUCCACGAGGGGUGUUAGUAGUCCAUGAUGGGUGUUAGUAGUCCACGAUGGGUAUUAGUAGUCCACGAUGGAUAUUGGUAGUCCAUGAGGGGUGCUAGUAGUCCACGAUGGAUAUUAGUAGUCCACGAGGGGUGCUAGUAGUCCACGAGGGGUGUUAGUAGUCCAUGAUGGGUAUUAGUAGUCCACGAGGGGUGCUAGUAGUCCACGAGGGGUGUUAGUAGUCCACGAGGGGUGUUAGUAGUCCACGAGGGGUGUUAGUAGUCCACAAGGGGUGUUAGUAGUCCACGAGGGGUGCUAGUAGUCCACGAGGGGUGUUAGUAGUCCACGAGGGGUGUUAGUAGUCCACGAGGGGUGUUAGUAGUCCACGAGGGGUGUUAGUAGUCCACGAUGGAUAUUAGUAGUCCAUGAUGGGUAUUAGUAGUCCACGAGGGGUGCUAGUAGUCCAUGAUGGGUAUUAGUAGUCCACGAGGGGUGUUAGUAGUCCAUGAUGGGUGCUAGUAGUCCAUGAUGGGUAUUAGUAGUCCAUGAUGGGUGUUAGUAGCCCACGAUGGAUGUUAGUAGUCCACGAGGGGUGUUAGUAGUCCACGAGGGGUGCUAGUAGUCCAUGAUGGGUAUUAGUAGUCCACGAGGGGUGUUAGUAGUCCACGAGGGGUGUUAGUAGUCCACGAGGGGUGUUAGUAGGGGUGUUAGUAGUCCACGAGGGGUGUUAGUAGUCCACGAGGGGUGUUAGUAGUCCACGAGGGGUGUUAGUAGUCCAUGAUGGAUAUUAGUAGUCCACGAGGGGUGUUAGUAGUCCACAAGGGGUGCUAGUAGUCCAUGAUGGACAUGAACCCAGCUAACAAUUCUAGGGAGAAAUAACGUUUUUAUAAUGUUCCCCGCAAUGUUCCCCUUUUGUUUGAGUGUCCAGUUCUCUGUUAGUUAGGGGAAAAUUCUAUCUAUGUUAACAGAAACCUUCUGAGAACCUUUAUAGAAUGUUUUGGUGUUACAAUUUGACAUGAACAUUCCCUUAAUGUAAAACAGAACUUAUCAAGAACAUGGUUACAAUGUUCUCAGAAUGUACAAUAUUUAUGUUCUAGAAACGUUUCAUGUGUAUCAGUUGUCGCCAUUCCCAAAGAAAUGUCUCCCCCCCAAAAAAUAAAAUUCAUUACACAUCACACCUUGUUACUGUUGCCACGCCCAUCAAGGCCCUGAUUGGCAAAGCACUGACGCAUUCAUAGCUCUUUGCCUGUCGGUUAGCGACACUCACACACAGUUCUUUUGACAUACAGUAUUUUCAACUGACAUAUUCGACAUACAUGAUUACAUUCUGCAUUUUUAUUUAUCCGAAAAUGAUUGUUCAACAUGUCCUCUCCUGGGAUUUGAAAUCACAACUGCUUGGUUUGCAGGACUCCGAUGUUCCUGCUACGCCACCAUGUCUGUGUAAGUUGUCAGUUCAUUUGACUGUAAUUACGCUGUGUGAUUAAGAACUUCCUGGACAUUGUGGAGAUGCAUAAUAUAUCUUAUUUACUUUUUAUUUCGAGAAUCAGCUUUAAUUUAAGGCCACUUGAAGUGCAAAUGCCGAACAAUUGUGGUAAAUCUCUGGUAAUGCUCCAAAGCCUCUUGGGACAGCUUUAUGUAGAGGCCCUAACAGCUUUAUGUAGAGGCCCUAACAGCUUUAUGUAGAGGCCCUAACAGCUUUAUGUAGAGACCCUAACAGCUUUAUGUAGAGGCCCUAACAGCUUUAUGUAGAGGCCCUAACAGCUUUAUGUAGAGGCCCUAACAGCUUUAUGUAGAGGCCCUAACAGCUUAAUGUAGAGGCCCUAACAGCUUUAUGUAGAGGCCCUAACAGCUUUAUGUAGAGGCCCUAACAGCUUUAUGGAGGCCCUAACAGCUUUAUGUAGAGACCCUAACAGCUUUAUGUAGAGGCCCUAACAGCUUUAUGUAGAGGCCCUAAAAGCUUUAUGUAGAGGCCCUAACAGCUUUAUGUAGAGGCCCUAACAGUUUUAUGUAGAGGCCCUAACAGCUUUAUGUAGAGGCCCUAACAGCUUUAUGUAGAGGCCCUAACAGCUUAAUGUAGAGGCCCUAACAGCUUUAUGUAGAGGCCCUAACAGCUUUAUGUAGAGGCCCUAACAGUUUGUCACCAUUAUAGUGUAAUUCAUGUAUUGUUUAGUGUUGUGUUGUGUAGUGGCUUUGCUGGCAUGCAUCUAAAACAUUUUUGGGGAGUUUGCCCCACCAAGAUUUACACUGAUUUAGCAUGUAUAUUAAACUAUGGUGAAUCGCUGUAUGGUAAUGUUUCAAUGCUGUAUGUCCCAUCAGUGCCACGUCUGUUUGGAGCCCCACCUGUUUAGCAAAACAAUAUAUAUGUUUUGCCUUUUUUUUAAUGUUAUUUUAUCACAUAUCAGUUUGCAAACAAUGUACAAAAAAAAAAGUUAAUAAAGAC